ACGGAUGUGGUGAAAUGGUAGACACGAUAUAUUUAGGAUAUAUUGGUUUUAUACUAUGUGGGUUCAAAUCCCACCAUCCGUA
RNAcentral lists this transfer RNA (82 nucleotides) under Coemansia erecta. RNAcentral's name for it is "tRNA-Leu". It matches the Rfam family "tRNA". Rfam says of the family: Transfer RNA (tRNA) molecules are approximately 80 nucleotides in length. Their secondary structure includes four short double-helical elements and three loops (D, anti-codon, and T loops). The record is from RNAcentral. Lineage: Eukaryota; Fungi; Kickxellomycota; Kickxellomycetes; Kickxellales; Kickxellaceae. RNAcentral also lists the same sequence under 1 other name.